UCCCAGUGAGCCGAUAGAACAAAUGUCCUAGAAACUGCCCCCUGACAAGUAUCCCACCCAACCCAGGCCGCGAUGGCUCAGGCAGUGGGGGGAUUUUGCAGACAGCAUCCUCCUCUUUGCUCCUCUCCCCCACCCCACCCAACCCUGCCGUGUAAACACGAGGACUUUCUCGAGAGCCUUGGAGAGCCGCUCUAGUGGCUUCGGGGCCUGAAACCCCAGGCUUGGCUUGUUUGAUGUUUAGCAUCCCAAAGCGGCUCCCCACCCCCGCCCCAGCCUGGGAACCCCGAGCUCUGGGGCCGAAGAGAAGGGGAAGCAGUUCUCUCAGCUGGAGGGCGGUGGAUUGGCUGGGCUUAGAGAAGUGGCGAAAGCUACAGGACAGAGGCGCCCUGAGUGGGAGAGAAAGGGAUCCCGGGAUGGUGCGGCCAUCCACUAGGAUAGAGCUGGGGUCCUAAAGGCCAAGAGGCAGACGAGGAAAGAAAUGUCACAGUUUGUGGGAAUACACUGGAGAUAGGGCCUAGCCAGGUGGAGAUAGCUUGGAGCCCGCGAAAACAAGGUAAGCGGUGUCUGGGUCCAGUUAGCGAGACCGGCGUUCAGGUCUGCGGGGCUAUCAGGGCCUCGAGGAGACAACGCUUCGUGCCACUGCUUAGUGCUUGGCCUUUCGUAGGGAUGGACUUGCUUGAGAGUCUUCCAAGAGAUUUUUAAGUGCUCUGGACUGGGAGCUCCAUUGGCGAUGUUUGGAUCUGGUUUUGAUUUUGAAAGCCCAGGAAGAUUCGCAGACUUUCGAGGCCGCACACUCUUCGGGCUGCCCGGAAUCUGGGCAGCGAUGAGGACUGAGAAGCUGUCUCAAGACCUGAGUCUCUUCUCAGGCGAUCCCAGAUAAGAGGAAGGAGAGAGAGGUUUUCUGACUUCCAACUCAUUAGGGACCAGCACUCUUGGAGCUUCAUGGGGUUUGUACAAAACAUUGCAGCAGAACCAUUACUAUGCCUCAGAGACAUGCAGGGGCCCCGGGGCAAAUCAAAAAAAGUGUUUUUGACUGCACAACAUGUGUGAAGUUGAUGAAAAUUCAUGACAUCUCUAUCAGGGCUGUUUCAGCUUACGUCAUCAGAAAGAUUUAUUCCCCAGCACAGCAAGAGGAUGCGCCUGUGACCCUUUUCAAACUUACUCUCCACUCGGCUUAUGGAGACCAUCAGCUGCAGGACAAAUAUUUUAGUUUGGAUAUGCAUGUCACAAUUAAUAAUAAAAAGAUACAGGACCAAGGCAGACUGAAUGGCUCCAAUUAUCAGAAUGUGAAAGCAUGA
Molecule: long non-coding RNA, 1298 nt
Filed under: Mus spicilegus (steppe mouse)
Lineage: Eukaryota; Metazoa; Chordata; Mammalia; Rodentia; Muridae
Description: lncRNA (ENSMSIG00000006072.1)
Source: RNAcentral